UAAUUUAAAUAGAAAAAGAGGACAUGCUCGAUACAUGCCCUCUAAUGUAGAACCGUUUAAGACGGUAGCAAAUUUGAUUACUAAAAA
RNAcentral lists this small RNA (87 nucleotides) under Alkalibacterium putridalgicola. RNAcentral describes it as "RNA anti-toxin A". It matches the Rfam family "RNA anti-toxin A". The record is from RNAcentral. Lineage: Bacteria; Bacillati; Bacillota; Bacilli; Lactobacillales; Carnobacteriaceae.